CUGCUCUUCUUGAUGAGUUUGGCCACAGAGAGGAAUGCUUGCUGGAGCCCCAUUCCCUUCAGGCCGCUGCAUGCCUGGAUCUGCCAGGCUCGGUCUUUGUAGCUGGGAAGCUCCAGCUGGUUGGACACCUCUCUGAUGUUCAUGGUGUUGUGGAGGUCCUUCUUGUUAGCCAGCACCAUCAGAGCCCAUGACGUCAGAGUCCAUCUGGACCAACGAUUUGGACGGGGCUCAAGCGCAAAACUAUCGCUAAACUCAAAGCGGCUGCCUGGUACGUUUGGUAUCCUUACAUCAGCGACGACAACAACGAAGUGACAGCUUUAAUCUGGUAAUCGUGCUUUCAAAUCAUAUUUACUUGAGUGUUAGCGGGGACAGUGGUGGCCUCACAGCCCCUGCUUCUCCCUCCCCUGUGCCCCCCGUCCUC
Molecule: long non-coding RNA, 421 nt
Organism: Oncorhynchus tshawytscha (Chinook salmon)
Lineage: Eukaryota; Metazoa; Chordata; Actinopteri; Salmoniformes; Salmonidae
Exons: 3
Source: RefSeq, a predicted model, not a curated record